This 253-nucleotide ribosomal RNA is filed under the name uncultured bacterium. Its description in RNAcentral is "partial 16S ribosomal RNA". It matches the Rfam family "Bacterial small subunit ribosomal RNA", at positions 524 to 776 of the family's 1533-position model. The record is from RNAcentral.
UACGGAGGGUGCAAGCGUUAUCCGGAUUCACUGGGGUUAAAGGGAGCGCAGGCGGACUGGUAAGUCAGUGGUGAAAGCCCUGGGCUCAACCCGGGAACUGCCAUUGAUACUAUCAGUCUUGAAUAUCGUUGAGGUUUGCGGAAUGGGUCAUGUAGCGGUGAAGUGCAUAGAUAUGACCCGGAACACCUAUUGCGAAGGCAGCUCACUACACGAAUAUUGACACUGAGGCACGAAAGCGUGGGGAUCAAACAGG